AACGAACGCUGGCGGCAUGCCUAACACAUGCAAGUCGAACGAGACCUUCGGGUCUAGUGGCGCACGGGUGCGUAACGCGUGGGAACCUGCCCUUAGGUUCGGAAUAACUCCCCGAAAGGGGUGCUAAUACCGGAUAAUGUCUUCGGUCCAAAGAUUUAUCGCCUUUGGAUGGGCCCGCGUUGGAUUAGCUAGUUGGUAGGGUAAAAGCCUACCAAGGCGACGAUCCAUAGCUGGUCUGAGAGGAUGAUCAGCCACACUGGGACUGAGACACGGCCCAGACUCCUACGGGAGGCAGCAGUGGGGAAUAUUGGACAAUGGGCGAAAGCCUGAUCCAGCAAUGCCGCGUGAGUGAUGAAGGCCUUAGGGUUGUAAAGCUCUUUUACCCGGGAUGAUAAUGACAGUACCGGGAGAAUAAGCUCCGGCGAACUCCGU
RNAcentral lists this ribosomal RNA (432 nucleotides) under uncultured bacterium. RNAcentral's name for it is "partial 16S ribosomal RNA". It matches the Rfam family "Bacterial small subunit ribosomal RNA", at positions 29 to 506 of the family's 1533-position model. The record is from RNAcentral.